Molecule: ribosomal RNA, 406 nt
Filed under: uncultured bacterium
Lineage: Bacteria
Description: partial 16S ribosomal RNA
Rfam family: Bacterial small subunit ribosomal RNA
Source: RNAcentral
AUUGAACGCUGGCGGCAGGCCUAACACAUGCAAGUCGAACGAGUGGCGGACGGGUGAGUAAUGUCUGGGAAACUGCCUGAUGGAGGGGGAUAACUACUGGAAACGGUAGCUAAUACCGCAUACCAUCAGAUGUGCCCAGAUGGGAUUAGCUAGUUGGUGGGGUAACGGCUCACCAAGGCCACGAUCCCUAGCUGGUCUGAGAGGAUGACCCAGCCAACCUGAAACGAUACAAGGUCCAGACCCCUACGGGAGGCAGGAGUGGGGAAUAUUGCACAAAUGGGGGAAGCCUGGAGCCGCCAAGCCGGGUGGAUGAAAGAAGCCUUCGGGUUUGAAAGUACUUUUAGCGGGGAAGCGGUACCCGCAGAAGAAGCACCGGCUAACUCCGUGCCAGCAGCCGCGGUAAUAC